CCUACGGGAGGCAGCAGUGAGGAAUAUUGGUCAAUGGACGAGAGUCUGAACCAGCCAAGUAGCGUGAAGGAUGACUGCCCUAUGUGUUGUAAACUUCUUUUAUAUGGGAAUAAAAUGUUCCACGUUGGGGAUUUUGUAUGUACCAUAUGAAUAAGGAUCGGCUAACUCCGUGCCAGCAGCCGCGGUAAUACGGAGGAUCCGAGCGUUAUCCGGAUUUAUUGGGUUUAAAGGGAGCGUAGGUGGAUUGUUAAGUCAGUUGUGAAAGUUUGCGGCUCAACCGUAAAAUUGCAGUUGAAACUGGCAGUCUUGAGUACAGUAGAGGUGGGCGGAAUUCGUGGUGUAGCGGUGAAAUGCUUAGAUAUCACGAAGAACUCCGAUUGCGAAGGCAGUUCACUGGACUGCAACUGACACUGAGGCUCGAAAGUGUGGGUAUCAAACAGGAUUAGAUACCCCUGUAGUC
Molecule: ribosomal RNA, 460 nt
Filed under: uncultured bacterium
Lineage: Bacteria
Description: partial 16S ribosomal RNA
Rfam family: Bacterial small subunit ribosomal RNA
Source: RNAcentral